GGUCAAGUUACAAAGGGCGUAUGGUGGAUGCCCAGGCACUUAGAGCCGAAGAAGGACGCAGCGAGCGGCGAAACGCUCCGGGGAGUCGCAAGCAGACGUAGAUCCGGAGAUUUCCGAAUGGGGAAACCCGCUUAAGGUAAUACUUAAGCAUCCCAUGGUGAACACAUAGCCAUGGGAGGGGAAACCGCGUGAACUGAAACAUCUAAGUAGCGCGAGGAAAAGAAAGAAACAUCGAUUUCCUAAGUAGCGGCGAGCGAAAAGGAAAGAGCCCAAACCCGGCACUCAAUUAGGGAUGCUAUACAAAAAGAAAGAAGAAAAAAAUAGCAAUCCUAAUUGAGUGCCGGGGGUUUAGGACCACGAGAAGGUAUAUGGAGUGAAGCCGAACAGACCUGGGAAGGCAGGCCAAAGAAGGUGAAAGCCCUGUAGGCGUAAGCUUUAAAUACCGAGUGGGAUCCAGAGUACCACAGGAUAGGCAACCCGGUGGGAAGACGGGAGGACCAUCUCCCAAGGCUAAAUACUCCUAAGUGACCGAUAGCGCAAAGUACCGUGAGGGAAAGGUGAAAAGAACCCCGGGAGGGGAGUGAAAGAGAACCUGAAACCAUAUGUCCACAAGCAGUGGAAGUCCGGCACUCAACUGAACAUGUUAGAGAGAAGAAAAAAAGAACUAGCGUGUCCAGUUGAGAGCCGGACGACCACGUACUUUUUGUAGAACGGACCGGCGAGUUAUAGAUAUGCAGCGAGGUUAAGCGAAAGCGGAGCCGAAGCGAAAGCGAGUCUUAAGAGGGCGAAAGUUGCAUAUCAUAGACCCGAAACCGUGCGACCUACCCAUGAUCAGGGUGAAGCCGGAGUAAGAUCUGGUGGAGGCCCGAACCACGUUGACGUUGAAAAGUCAUGGGAUGAAUUGUGGGUAGCGGAGAAAUUCCAAUCGAGCUCGGAGAUAGCUGGUUCUCCCCGAAAUAGCUUUAGGGCUAGCCUCAGGGGUGAAAAAUAUGGAGGUAGAGCACUGAAUGGACUAGGGGCCAAAAAGGUUACCGAACCCUAUCAAACUCCGAAUGCCAUAUUGAGAACCCUGGGAGUCAGACUACGAGUGAUAAGAUCCGUGGUCAAAAGGGAAACAGCCCAGACCGACAGCUAAGGUCCCAAAGAGCAUGUUAAGUGGGAAAGGAAGUAGGAUUUCCAAGACAACCAGGAUGUUGGCUUAGAAGCAGCCAUACAUUCAAAGAGUGCGUAAUAGCUCACUGGUCGAGAAAUCCCGCGCCGAAAAUAAACGGGGCUAAAACAUGCCACCGAAGCUACGGAUUCGAAAGAAUGGUAGGGGAGCGUACUGUACAGGGCGAAGGAUAAGCGUAAGCGAAUCUGGACAGUACAGUAGAGAGAAUGCCGGUAUAAGUAACGAGAGUAAGGCGAGAAACCUUACCGUCGAAAGCCUAAGGUUUCCUGGGGAAGGAUAAUCCGCCCAGGGUAAGUCGGGACCUAAGCCGAGGCGAAAGCGUAGGCGAUGGACAACCGGUAAUAAAUCCGGUACCACCGAAAUCCGUCAAAAGAGAAGCAAGGACGCAGCGAGAUAAGAAAAGCGUGCGGUUGGUAGAGCACGUCCAAGCAGCGACGAAAAGAGCUUUGAGUGAAGUACCAAAGCUCAUAAGAGCUGUGAAGGGGAGCCGAAAGGCGAAGUUUCGAAGGGGCUGCCAAGAAAAGUUGCUAUCGAGGAUAGAGGUGCCCGUACCAGAAACCGACACAGGUAGGCGAGGAGAGAAUCCAAAGACGAGCGGGAGAACCCUCAUUAAGGAACUCGGCAAAAAGACUCCGUAACUUCGGGAGAAGGAGUGCCGAAAGGCCGCAGAGAAGAGGCCCAAGCGACUGUUUACCAAAAACACAGGUUUCUGCUAAGUCGAAAGACGAAGUAUAGGAGCUGACGCCUGCCCGGUGCUGGAAGGUUAAGGGGAAGUGUUAUCCGGCACUCAACUAUACCUAUUAGGAGUGAAAGAAAUGUAUUAUGUCUAUAUAAUAAAGAACGAAAAUGGAGGCAUAUAUACAGGCUAUUCAGAAAAUAUAAGGAAAAGACUAGAAGCUCAUAAUAAAGAGCUAAACAAAUAUACAAAGGGGCAUAAAUGGGAACUAAUAUACUAUGAAGCAUAUAAAGCAAAAGAAGAUGCCCAAAAAAGAGAAAAACAAUUAAAAAAAUCCCAUAAUGCAAGAAGAUGGUUAAAAGAAAGAAUAGCCAAAAGCAUAAACUCUUAGUAGAUAGAGUUGAGUGCCGGAGAAGCACAGAACUUAAGCCCCAGUAAACGGCGGCCGUAACUAUAACGGUCCUAAGGUAGCGAAAUUCCUUGUCGGGUAAGUUCCGACCUGCACGAAAGGCGUAACGACUUGGGCGCUGUCUUGAUGGGGGACCCGGUGAAAUUGUAGUACUCGUGAAGAUGCGAGUUACCCGCGACAGGACAGAAAGACCCCAUGGAGCUUUACUGCAGCUUGUCACUGAAUUUUAGUAAUAUCUGUACAGGAUAGGUGGGAGGCGGAGAAAGAUGGGCGCAAGCCUAUCUGGAGCCGACGUUGGGAUACCACCCUGAUAUUACCGAAAUUCUAACAUAGGAGCCGUAAGCCGGCAUAUGGACACUGACAGGCGGGCAGUUUGACUGGGGCGGUCGCCUCCCAAAGAGUAACGGAGGCGUCCAAAGGUUACCUCAGCGCGGAAGGAAAUCGCGCGUAAGAGUGCAAAGGCAGAAGGUAGCCUAACUGCGAGAAAGACAAUUCGAGCAGGGACGAAAGUCGGGCUUAGUGAUCCGGCGGUAGAGAAUGGGAUUGCCGUCGCUCAACGGAUAAAAGCUACCCUGGGGAUAACAGGCUGAUCUCCCCCAAGAGUCCACAUCGACGGGGAGGUUUGGCACCUCGAUGUCGGCUCAUCGCAUCCUGGGGCUGAAGUAGGUCCCAAGGGUUGGGCUGUUCGCCCAUUAAAGCGGUACGCGAGCUGGGUUCAGAACGUCGUGAGACAGUUCGGUCCCUAUCCGUCGCGGGCGUAGGAAAUUUGAGAGGAACUGCCCUUAGUACGAGAGGACCGGGGUGGACAAACCGAUGGUGUACCAGUUGCGAAGCCAUUCGCACAGCUGGGUAGCCAAGUUUGGAAGGGAUAAACGCUGAAAGCAUCUAAGCGUGAAACCCACCUCAAGAAAAGAUUUCCCAUCUGGCACUCAACUAUACUUACUGAAGGAAAAAAGCACUAUGUACAAAUGUUAGGGAAUGAAAUAAAAUAGAUUACAGUAGGUAGAGUUGAGUGCCAGAGUAAGACACCUUGGAGAAGACGAGGUAGAUAGGCCGGAGGUGUAAGAGUAGAAAUACUUUGAGCUGACCGGUACUAAUAAGUCGAGGACUUGACCAA
Thermoanaerobacterium thermosaccharolyticum DSM 571 is the source of this 3373-nucleotide ribosomal RNA. It matches the Rfam family "Bacterial large subunit ribosomal RNA". NCBI's taxonomy places the organism in Bacteria, Bacillati, Bacillota, Clostridia, Thermoanaerobacterales, Thermoanaerobacteraceae. The record is from Rfam.